CUGCAGCUCAAGUGGUGACCACUAUUAUUGGGCCUAAAACGUUCGUAGCCGGUUUGGUAAAUGCCUGGGUAAAUCGUGUAGCUUAACUAUACGACUUCCGGGUAGACUGCUAAACUUGAGACCGGGAGAGGCUAGAGGUACUCCUGGGGUAGAGGUGAAAUUCUGUAAUCCUAGGGGGACCACCAGUGGCGAAGGCGUCUAGCUAGAACGGGUCUGACGGUGAGGGACGAAGCCCUGGGGCACAAACCGGAUUAGAUACCCGCGUAGUCC
Molecule: ribosomal RNA, 270 nt
Filed under: uncultured archaeon
Lineage: Archaea
Description: partial 16S ribosomal RNA
Rfam family: Archaeal small subunit ribosomal RNA
Source: RNAcentral